This is a non-coding RNA of Triticum urartu, 149 nucleotides long. Lineage: Eukaryota; Viridiplantae; Streptophyta; Magnoliopsida; Poales; Poaceae. The record is from Rfam.
UCUAGACUCUUCCGUUUCGAAUUACUUGUUUUAGAUUUGUCUAGAUACGGAUGUAUCUAGCACUAAAAUGAGUCUAGAUACAUCGAGUCUAGAUACAUCCGUAUCUAGACAAAUCUAAGACAAGUAAUUCGGAACGGAGGGAGUAAUAA